ACGACAACAGUCGAUACCAGUGCCAAGCAACCUUGUUACCUUACGGGGAGGGAAGCGAUCGACAAGGAAAUGCAAAUUGUGGAAGACACAGCUAUUCCUGGACUCGCAUAUCGGAAGUACAAGCCAUGGGAGGUGCGUGUGUGCUGCCCUACCUUUUUAUAUGAAGAUCGAUUGGUUAAUUCUACUCCCAGUCAGAUGACCACUGACCCCCGUCCUGACCUUUACGGAUCGCGUGGCUUGACCAGGCACCUGGCCCUGGUUUAAUUGGUCGAGAUAUUCCC
This is a long non-coding RNA of Haliotis rufescens (red abalone), 281 nucleotides long. RefSeq lists it as uncharacterized. The record is from RefSeq and is a predicted model, not a curated record. The transcript is spliced from 3 exons. NCBI's taxonomy places the organism in Eukaryota, Metazoa, Mollusca, Gastropoda, Lepetellida, Haliotidae.